UACGUAGGUGGCGAACGUUAUCCGGAAUUAUUGGGCGUAAAGGAUGCGUAGAUGGUGUAGUAAGUUAUCGGUGGCAAAUCGAGGCUCAACCUCGUGGAAGCCGGUAAUACUGCUAUGCUAGAGGAUAGGAGAGGUUAACGGAACUCCCUGUGGAGCGGUGAAAUGCGUAGAUAUAGGGGAGAACACCAAUCAGGCGAAGGCAGUUAACUAUUCUAUUCCUGACAUUGAGGCAUGAAAGCGUGGGGAGCAAAACGG
This 255-nucleotide ribosomal RNA is filed under the name uncultured bacterium. Its description in RNAcentral is "partial 16S ribosomal RNA". It matches the Rfam family "Bacterial small subunit ribosomal RNA", at positions 524 to 776 of the family's 1533-position model. The record is from RNAcentral.